This is a long non-coding RNA of Chiroxiphia lanceolata (lance-tailed manakin), 812 nucleotides long. RefSeq lists it as uncharacterized. The transcript is spliced from 3 exons. The record is from RefSeq and is a predicted model, not a curated record. Lineage: Eukaryota; Metazoa; Chordata; Aves; Passeriformes; Pipridae.
GGAAAGGACCAUGAAGGUGAUUAAGGAUCUAGACUAUCUGACAUAUAGGUAGAGGAUAAGAGAGCUGGAAUUGUUUAGCCUGGAGAAGAUAAUGGUCAGGAGAACCUUAUCGAGAAAUCUGAAGAAAUUACUCUCAUGGCUGAUAACUUUAACAGAUUGAAAGGAAAGCACAUGAUCACAUAACACAGACAAAGGCAACCGCAAGACUCAGCAGUUUGAAUGCCCAUGGCAGAAGAGCUGCAGCCAGCUCUUUGGGUGCAUACAUUUGUCUGGACAGGUAAGAAACAGUACCAUAACAUGAAGAAGAAAAAGUGAACACAGCCUGACCUGCAUCUGAACUGGUCAUGGCAGAGGAGAGGACUUCCAGAAUGAGCUGGUGAGUAAAAGAACUUGAACUUCCAUAAGAAGAGCUGUGUCUGUGGUGCACCCUGACCUGCCCCUGGUAAAUAGCUCUUUCUUGUUGUACAGAACUCACUGAACCCAGCACCAGCUUUUUCUCUUAAGUGGCACAAACUGUAAGACACUGGGUUUUGUGGAUGGCUGAGCAGUUGAGGAGGACUCACCAGAUCAGCCUAAGUCUGUGAUGGUGGCACUAUUGGGCAUGUUUUUCUGUCCUUUCAGAAUGGAGCUUUGCUGAAACCUCUGUAAGAAAUCAGGUCACUGUGAUCGCACUGGAGAGAAUUUCAUUGUAUGAAGGUUGAAAUUUCACCACAGACAGAUCACAAGAUUUUCGUGACCUCGUGAUCUCUUUUGUGAGUGGUGGUUGUGUAACAGAUCCCCUGGUAAGAUAAGACAAUAUGAGGAUUUACACA